RNAcentral lists this long non-coding RNA (466 nucleotides) under Carica papaya (papaya). RNAcentral's name for it is "long non-coding RNA (CPAP_LNC015877)". Lineage: Eukaryota; Viridiplantae; Streptophyta; Magnoliopsida; Brassicales; Caricaceae. The record is from RNAcentral.
CCGUGAACGUCGUCUCAUACCGAACGAAGUAUGGAGACUUGGUCAUUUGGCGCUCAUACCGGACGGGGUAUGGGGACAGCUUGUUUCACCCUCAUACCAGACGGGCUAUUGAGGUUUAAUGUCUUGGCACUCAUACCGGACGGGGUAUGGGGACGACCUGCUUCACCCUCAUACCGGACGAGGUAUUGAGAUUUAAUAUUUUGGCCCUCAUACCAGACAGGGUAUGGGGACGGCCCUGGAAUUAAGAUUGUUAAAAAGAAUGGUUCACGUGUGGCGGGGACACCCCUAUGGAUCCCCAUGGAUAUUAGUAGGCUGGUGAAAAUGAGAAAUGAUGAUAAUCAGUUAUUGUUAAUGAAUACAAAAUUAUGAUAUGUUUUAUGUUACUGAUUAUACAUGAAAUAGUGAUUUGUAUGAUGUCAUUGUCUUUAUAAGUUGUUUUCACAGGUUCUCCAAGGGUAACAAAAAG